Molecule: ribosomal RNA, 464 nt
Filed under: Vreelandella stevensii
Lineage: Bacteria; Pseudomonadati; Pseudomonadota; Gammaproteobacteria; Oceanospirillales; Halomonadaceae
Description: partial 16S ribosomal RNA
Rfam family: Bacterial small subunit ribosomal RNA
Source: RNAcentral
CCUACGGGAGGCAGCAGUGGGGAAUAUUGGACAAUGGGGGCAACCCUGAUCCAGCCAUGCCGCGUGUGUGAAGAAGGCCCUCGGGUUGUAAAGCACUUUCAGUGAGGAAGAACGCCUGGUGGUUAAUACCCAUCAGGAAAGACAUCACUCACAGAAGAAGCACCGGCUAACUCCGUGCCAGCAGCCGCGGUAAUACGGAGGGUGCGAGCGUUAAUCGGAAUUACUGGGCGUAAAGCGCGCGUAGGUGGCUUGAUAAGCCGGUUGUGAAAGCCCCGGGCUCAACCUGGGAACGGCAUCCGGAACUGUCAAGCUAGAGUGCAGGAGAGGAAGGUAGAAUUCCCGGUGUAGCGGUGAAAUGCGUAGAGAUCGGGAGGAAUACCAGUGGCGAAGGCGGCCUUCUGGACUGACACUGACACUGAGGUGCGAAAGCGUGGGUAGCAAACAGGAUUAGAUACCCAGUAGUC